AGUGAACGCUGGCGGUAGGCCUAACACAUGCAAGCCGAACGGCAGCACAGUAAGAGCUUGCUCUUACGGGUGGCGAGUGGCGGACGGGUGAGGAAUACAUCGGAAUCUACUUUUUCGUGGGGGAUAACGUAGGGAAACUUACGCUAAUACAGCAUACGACCUACGGGUGAAAGCAGGGGAUCUUCGGACCUUGCGCGAUUGAAUGAGCCGAUGUCGGAUUAGCUAGUUGGCGGGGUAAAGGCCCACCAAGGCGACGAUCCGUAGCUGGUCUGAGAGGAUGAUCAGCCACACUGGAACUGAGACACGGUCCAGACUCCUACGGGAGGCAGCAGUGGGGAAUAUUGGACAAUGGGCGCAAGCCUGAUCCAGCCAUACCGCGUGGGUGAAGAAGGCCUUCGGGUUGUAAAGCCCUUUUGUUGGGAAAGAAAAGCAGCAGGUUAAUACCCCGCUGUUCUGACGGUACCCAAAGAAUAAGCACCGGCUAACUUCGUG
Molecule: ribosomal RNA, 492 nt
Filed under: uncultured bacterium
Lineage: Bacteria
Description: partial 16S ribosomal RNA
Rfam family: Bacterial small subunit ribosomal RNA
Source: RNAcentral